Molecule: ribosomal RNA, 459 nt
Filed under: uncultured bacterium
Lineage: Bacteria
Description: partial 16S ribosomal RNA
Rfam family: Bacterial small subunit ribosomal RNA
Source: RNAcentral
CCUACGGGUGGCAGCAGUGAGGAAUAUUGGUCAAUGGGCGGAAGCCUGAACCAGCCAAGUCGCGUGAGGGAUGACGGCCCUAUGGGUUGUAAACCGCUUUUGUCAGGGGAUAACACCCUCCACUUGUGGCGGUCUGCAGGUACCGUGCGAAUAAGGGCCGGCUAAAUCCGUGCCAGCAGCCGCGGUAAUACGGGAGGCUCGAGCGUUAUCCGGAUUUAUUGGGUUUAAAGGGAGCGUAGGCGGGAGUUAAAGUCCGCGGUAAAAUCGCGGGGCUCAACCGCGCCCCGCAGUUGAAACCGGAGGUCGUGAGUGGACGAGAGGUAGGCGGAAUGCGUGGUGUAGCGGUGAAAUGCAUAGAUAUCACGCAGAACUCCGAUUGCGAAGGCAGCAUACCGGCGCCCAACUGACGCUGAGGCACGAAAGUGUGGGUAUCGAACAGGAUUAGAUACCCCUGUAGUC